GGCAUUUCCAGGAAAGUUAAACAGGGGUGUAAUGGUAAUUUCAACAGAUGAAGUUACAGAGAAGGAUCCCAGCCUUAUCCACUACAUUACACUCCACCAAACCUAAAAAUCUUUAUAAAAGCAGAUCAUAGUCCUCUCUUUCAACGAAACCAUAGGAACCGAUCACUGCCACCAUCGCCACCAACACCAACCGCCUCCAUCGCCACCCAUCAAAACUCAAAUAACACACACUCUCAGGGAACCCAGAAGAAAACCCGUCUUCAAUGGCCACCAGUAAGAGCUACUUUGCACGACAAAACUACCGAUUUCUGUCUGGCGACGAGGCCCUGCGCGCGCCACUCACGCCCGACUCCGCCUUUGAACUCGACGAGUCUGACAUUUAUAACAACUCAGUCACAACUCGUUCCUACUCGACCGAGUUUCUCAAAUCUCUACCGAGUUCCAGACUCACCAAGAAGUCCACAGCAACAGCAGCGGCGUUGACCAACAGCAGCGUCCCUGGAGACAGAGUCGUAGGGACUCCAUCGUCACUUCCGGUUAACAUACCGGACUGGUCGAAGAUAUUGAAAGAUGAGUACAGGGAGAGUCGUCGUGGGAGAGAUAUGGACAACGACGACGACGACGACGAUGACGACGAAGAUGAAGAUGAAGAUGUAGAUGAUGAUGGUGAUGAUGACAACGACGAUGAUGAAGAAACCCAGCCACCUUCUAAGAGGAAGAAAUGAAGAAAUAAGAAAAACAUUAUUCCCCCCUUUUUCUUCUUUAAGCUGGAUUGAAUUGAAGGAAUCUCAUUGACUGAGUCAAAAGGUUCAAACCAUUAGUUUUCAUAGAGCUUGAAAAACUAUUUCUUCUUGAUAAUGUGAACCCUCAUGAUAUCUUAUUUACCUGAAUUUUUUCUAGUUAUGUGGUCUCUUAUUUUAUUCUUUUGAUGAUAUUACCGUGGAGCAGGCAACAUGGAGUCUCUUAUUUUAUUCUUUUGAUGAUAUUACCGUGGAGCAGGCAACAUGGA
RNAcentral lists this unclassified non-coding RNA (1009 nucleotides) under Hevea brasiliensis (rubber tree). Lineage: Eukaryota; Viridiplantae; Streptophyta; Magnoliopsida; Malpighiales; Euphorbiaceae. The record is from RNAcentral.